GGGACGAUAGCUCAACGGCAGAGCAUCCGGCUCAUAACCGGCGGGUUCCAGGUUCGAAUCCUGGUCGUCCCACCA
Molecule: transfer RNA, 75 nt
Filed under: Chloroflexaceae bacterium
Lineage: Bacteria; Bacillati; Chloroflexota; Chloroflexia; Chloroflexales; Chloroflexaceae
Description: tRNA-Ile
Rfam family: tRNA
About the family: Transfer RNA (tRNA) molecules are approximately 80 nucleotides in length. Their secondary structure includes four short double-helical elements and three loops (D, anti-codon, and T loops).
Source: RNAcentral